This 340-nucleotide long non-coding RNA is filed under the name Bos taurus (domestic cattle). RNAcentral's name for it is "long non-coding RNA NONBTAT010730". The record is from RNAcentral. Lineage: Eukaryota; Metazoa; Chordata; Mammalia; Artiodactyla; Bovidae.
GUGGAUUUCCCCCAAAUUCUGAAAAUACAUACUGUAAAUCUUUGAACAAUCCAGAACAGUACAAGGAUGAAAGUGAGAAGUAUCUGAUAUUCAAAAUCCAUUAUUAAUAUUUGGUAACCAGUCUUGCAGUCAUAGGUCUAGGCGUGUUUUCCUGUACUCUAAUUUCCCCAUACAGCAACAUUAUGUAUGAACAACUUUGCACAUCACUUGGAUCCUGCACUUCUCUAUGUACUCUUAACAUGCCAUCUUUAUCUGGGGGCUCCUAUUCUGCAGAGCGAAACUUUGCAAAUAUAGCAGCAGAUUGAAAGAGCAAAAGAUCUUUAGACCCUUACUACAACUA